UAAUUCAACAAACUUUAAGAGGGAGGCACACCAUUUUUGCUGAUAGACAGAUAUAAAGCAACAUAGGGCAAUGCCAACAAACUUUCAAGUUGCUUACGACUUGGAGCAAAACAAGCAAUGAAAUUAUGAAAGUGAUACCAUUUUCGCUUAUAUACAGAUAUAAUUAGUUGCUAUGGAGGUCAUCAUCCGCGGGGGAUAUUUUGAAGGUACAGAACAUGAUACCAAUUAAUUUUUGGGUGGUGCUUUUGGUUGAUUAUCAGCGAGCUUAUGGCCAGAAUAGCAACAGAGCGCAAAGCUUCAUACUCAGAGCGCAAAGCAGCAAAAUCAGGGCGUUUAGUGUCAAAGGCAUGAUCAAAAGCAGCAUAAUCAGGGUGCUGAGGGUGCUGAGAAUAUGCAAGAACGGAAGAAUAAACAACAAAUAAAGCAAAAUAAAAAUAACAAUAACAACAAGUCAGGGAUAAUAUCAUUCAUAAUUGACAUAACACAAUAGUAAUAGAGUUAGAGUUCACAAAUUAUUUAACAAGUAUCAUCCUGGGGGCUAUAUUAAUUUUUGGGUGGUGGUUUUGGUUGAUUAUCAUCGAGCUUACGGUCAAGACCAGAGCGCAAAGCAGCAUACUCAGAGCGCAAAGCAUCAUACUCGGAGCGCAAAGCAGCAAAAUCAGGGCGUUUAGUGUCAGAGGCAUGAUCAAAAGCAGCAUAAUCAGGGUGCUUACGGUCAAGACGAGAGCGCAAAGCAGCAUUGUCUUGAGAUUUUUGACGAGCUUCUAAGCAGCCAAGAAUCACGCCGACUAUACCUCCAUACAUCACAGCGUCCAUCAUUAGAUCCGCUCUCUUGUUUUCCGAUCUUAACUGAUACAUGCAAACAAAUGGGUGUUUUCAAUUUUUAAAUCUAUGUUUAUACUUAUAAAUUUGUAUAUACACAAACUCUGGAUAUUGGCCCCAUUCUUGCUUCUCCUUCUCCCCUUAUCUCUCUCGUAUCUGUUAAAUCUCUCUCUCUCUCUCGUCUUUAUCUUUCCGUCUCUCCAAACACAGCCGAUCUAAACUUAAAUGUAUUACCCGCGAGUAGUUCGUUAUUUAUUAUUUAUAAUUAUAAUUUAAAUUUUAACAUUAUUUUAAAAGUAUUUUAAUAGGGUUAAAUCUCAAAGUGCUCACUGAAGUGAAGGGCUGGCAUCAAAUUAGUCAUCAAACUUAACGGGGUAUCGUUUAAAUCACUAAAGUCAAAAUAAAUAUCAAAUGAAUACCUCAAAAAUAUGCCCGAGAACUAAAAAUUAAUUUUGUGAAGUUAUAUACAUUUUUCUUGAAUGCUACUAUAAUCAAAUGAAAAGUUAUGAAUUCUAGUAUCAUAGAUAAUAUAGUGAGAUUUUUAAAAUUUUAUCUACUAAUUAUUUUUAUUUAAAUAAAAU
This 1403-nucleotide long non-coding RNA is filed under the name Daucus carota (carrot). RNAcentral's name for it is "long non-coding RNA (DCAR_LNC006061)". Lineage: Eukaryota; Viridiplantae; Streptophyta; Magnoliopsida; Apiales; Apiaceae. The record is from RNAcentral.